This 252-nucleotide ribosomal RNA is filed under the name uncultured bacterium. RNAcentral's name for it is "partial 16S ribosomal RNA". It matches the Rfam family "Bacterial small subunit ribosomal RNA", at positions 524 to 776 of the family's 1533-position model. The record is from RNAcentral.
UACGGAGGAUGCGAGCGUUAUCCGGAUUUAUUGGGUUUAAGGGGUGCGUAGGCGGGCUUUUAAGUCAGCGGUAAAAAUUCGGGGCUCAACCCCGUCCGGCCGUUGAAACUGGGGGUCUUGAGUGGGCGAGAAGAAGGCGGAAUGCGUGGUGUAGCGGUGAAAUGCAUAGAUAUCACACAGAACCCCGAUUGCGAAGGCAGCCUUCCGGCGCCCUACUGACGCUGAGGCACGAAAGUGCGGGGAUCGAACAGG